AGUGACGAAAAUAACAAUACAGGACUCUUUUAUGAUGUUCUGUAAUUGGAAUGAAUUAACUUUAAAUCCUUUAAUGAGGAUCAAGUGGAGGGCAAGUCUGGUGCCAGCAGCCGCGGUAAUUCCAGCUCCACUAGCGUAUAUUAAAGUUGUUGCGGUUAAAACGUUCGAAGUUGAACUUUGUCUCACACUGUGGCGUCCCCCUUACGGG
Molecule: ribosomal RNA, 208 nt
Filed under: Simuliidae environmental sample
Lineage: Eukaryota; Metazoa; Arthropoda; Insecta; Diptera; Simuliidae
Description: partial 18S ribosomal RNA
Rfam family: Eukaryotic small subunit ribosomal RNA
Source: RNAcentral